AACGUAGGAGACAAACGUUAUCCGGAGUUACUGGGCGUAAAGGGCGUGUAGGUGGUUUUGUAAGUCUGGCGUGAAAUUUUUCGGCUUAACCGGGAAAGGUCGUCGGAUACUGCAAGGCUAGAGGACGGUAGAGGCGUGUGGAAUUCCGUGUGGAGCGGUGAAAUGCGUUGAUCUACAGAGGAACACCAAAAAAGGCGAAGGCAGUCAACUAUUCUGUUCCUGACAUUGAGGCAUGAAAGCGUGGGGAGCAAACCGG
RNAcentral lists this ribosomal RNA (256 nucleotides) under uncultured bacterium. RNAcentral's name for it is "partial 16S ribosomal RNA". It matches the Rfam family "Bacterial small subunit ribosomal RNA", at positions 524 to 776 of the family's 1533-position model. The record is from RNAcentral.